Triticum dicoccoides is the source of this 923-nucleotide long non-coding RNA. RefSeq lists it as uncharacterized. The transcript is spliced from 2 exons. Lineage: Eukaryota; Viridiplantae; Streptophyta; Magnoliopsida; Poales; Poaceae. The record is from RefSeq and is a predicted model, not a curated record.
UCUAGAAAAUGCACACCUGAGAAAACGACCCAGUCCCGCGCCUCCCGCAGCUUGCUCUCCCCCGAUUCCUCCUGCGACAAGCUCGCCGCCCCGCCCUCGAUCUGCCCCCGCCCCCUGCGUCAAGAUUCGGCAGCCGCGCCACCACCGUCCCCUGGAUGAGGACGCCGUGCCGCCACCGGUCUUGGAUCCGGCCGCCGCGGCGCCUGCCUCUGCUCCUCACCUGUCCGCCUCCACGCCCGCACGAGGGGAUGCCAAGCCCUCGUGCUCCUCCAUCGGCAGCCACAGGGGGGCCUCCGGCACACCUUCGCUUCCUCUCUUCCUUUCCUUCCUUCUCCCUCACACCCUCUCUCUCUCUCUCUCUGCUCUCCCACAGGUACCCGCCAUGGCCAUCAUUGACAACAGCCAUGCGGCAGGAGCUCGCCACCGAAGUCCCCCGAGCACCGUCCGCCCCGAAUCUGGCUGGGAACCGGACGAGGCCGAGCCCUCGUGCCCAGAUCCGCUGCAUCAAUCUGGAAGUUCGCCGCCGCCACCUCGGGCGGUUUAACUGAUGUGCCCCGCUUCUGGCACCACCCGCCGGGACGACCACCACCCCUCCCUCAUCCUGCUGCAGCCUGCAGAUUUAUGCACAUAAAGUUCAAAAAUAUAACGAAGAGAAGGAGCAUGUAUGCGUGUGUGUGGUGGUGAGGUUGAGGUUCAGAAAAAGUGUGUGGUGAUGGUGAGGUUCAGAAGAACAUGUGUGUGGUGGAGAAAUUCACUAGCUUUUUUAAUCGGGAGACAAGUAAUAGCUUAUUUUGUGCAAACACAAGAUAGAAAAAUGUAUGUGUCUUUUAGUAAGAGUCACAUUGUUCAACGGCCUCUCUGUUCAUCAAGAAAAUUCGAGUUUCCUUAAGCCACAUUGUUGUGCUGUGAAAAUGUGUUGGUUC